AAGGGGUUGCUGCAGAGGGAGGAAGAACUCCCUGCAUCUGGGACACCUUUGCACACGAAGGGAGAACAGAGGACAAAAGAACUGGAGACAUAGCAGCUGAUCAGUAUCACAAGUACAAGGAAGAUGUGAAGUUGAUGCAUGACAUGGGCCUGGAUGCCUACAGAUUCUCUAUCUCCUGGAGCAGU
Zingiber officinale is the source of this 185-nucleotide long non-coding RNA. RefSeq lists it as uncharacterized. The transcript is spliced from 3 exons. The record is from RefSeq and is a predicted model, not a curated record. NCBI's taxonomy places the organism in Eukaryota, Viridiplantae, Streptophyta, Magnoliopsida, Zingiberales, Zingiberaceae.